RNAcentral lists this ribosomal RNA (269 nucleotides) under uncultured prokaryote. Its description in RNAcentral is "partial 16S ribosomal RNA". It matches the Rfam family "Bacterial small subunit ribosomal RNA", at positions 524 to 792 of the family's 1533-position model. The record is from RNAcentral.
UACGGAGGAUCCGAGCGUUAUCCGGAUUUAUUGGGUUUAAAGGGUGCGCAGGCGGGAGAUUAAGUCGGCGGUGAAAUUUUGCAGCUCAACUGUAAAAGUGCCUUCGAAACUGGUUUCCUUGAGUGUAGAUGAAGUAGGCGGAAUUUGUGGUGUAGCGGUGAAAUGCAUAGAUAUCACGAGGAACUCCGAUUGCGCAGGCAGCUUACUAAACCACUACUGACGCUCAUGCACGAAGGCGUGGGGAUCAAACAGGAUUAGAUACCCGGGUA